ACCCAGCUGAUGAGUACAAAAUAGGAUGAAAUGCGCAUCCUGGAU
Schistosoma haematobium is the source of this 45-nucleotide non-coding RNA. The record is from Rfam. Lineage: Eukaryota; Metazoa; Platyhelminthes; Trematoda; Strigeidida; Schistosomatidae.